UACGUAGGGCGCAAGCGUUGUCCGGAAUUAUUGGGCGUAAAGAGCUCGUAGGCGGCCAGUUGCGUCUGCUGUGAAAUCCCGGGGCUCAACCCCGGGCGUGCAGUGGAUACGGGCUGGCUAGAGGCAGGCAGGGGAGAACGGAAUUCCCGGUGUAGCGGUGAAAUGCGCAGAUAUCUGGAGGAACACCGGUGGCGAAGGCGGCAUCCUGGACCGACAUUGACGCUGAGGCGCGAAAGCCAGGGGAGCAAACGGG
Molecule: ribosomal RNA, 253 nt
Filed under: uncultured bacterium
Lineage: Bacteria
Description: partial 16S ribosomal RNA
Rfam family: Bacterial small subunit ribosomal RNA
Source: RNAcentral